RNAcentral lists this ribosomal RNA (253 nucleotides) under uncultured bacterium. RNAcentral's name for it is "partial 16S ribosomal RNA". It matches the Rfam family "Bacterial small subunit ribosomal RNA", at positions 524 to 776 of the family's 1533-position model. The record is from RNAcentral.
UACGUAGGGUGCAAGCGUUGUCCGGAAUUAUUGGUCGUAAAGAGCUCGUAGGCGGUUUGUCGCGUCUGCUGUGAAAACCCGAGGCUCAACCUCGGGCCUGCAGUGGGUACGGGCAAACUAGAGUGCGGUAGGGGAGAAUGGAAUUCCUGGUGUAGCGGUGGAAUGCGCAGAUAUCAGGAGGAACACCGAUGGCGAAGGCAGUUCUCUGGGCCGUAACUGACGCUGAGGAGCGAAAGCGUGGGGAGCGAACAGG